RNAcentral lists this ribosomal RNA (480 nucleotides) under uncultured bacterium. RNAcentral's name for it is "bacterial SSU rRNA". It matches the Rfam family "Bacterial small subunit ribosomal RNA", at positions 30 to 506 of the family's 1533-position model. The record is from RNAcentral.
AUUGAACGCUGGCGGCAUGCCUUACACAUGCAAGUCGAACGGUAACAGGUCUUCGGAUGCUGACGAGUGGCGAACGGGUGAGUAAUACAUCGGAACGUGCCCGAUCGUGGGGGAUAACGAAGCGAAAGCUUUGCUAAUACCGCAUAAGAUCUACGGAUGAAAGCAGGGGACCGCAAGGCCUUGCGCGAACGGAGCGGCCGAUGGCAGAUUAGGUAGUUGGUGGGAUAAAAGCUUACCAAGCCGACGAUCUGUAGCUGGUCUGAGAGGACGAUCAGCCACACUGGGACUGAGACACGGCCCAGACUCCUACGGGAGGCAGCAGUGGGGAAUUUUGGACAAUGGGGGCAACCCUGAUCCAGCAAUGCCGCGUGAGUGAAGAAGGCCUCGGUUGUAAGACUCUUUGUCUAGGGAAGGAAACAAGCAGCUCUAACACAGUCCGCGAAUGACGGUACCUGAAGAAUAAGCACCGGCUAACUACGU